RNAcentral lists this ribosomal RNA (292 nucleotides) under uncultured Bacteroidota bacterium. Its description in RNAcentral is "uncultured Bacteroidetes bacterium partial 16S ribosomal RNA". Lineage: Bacteria; Pseudomonadati; Bacteroidota. The record is from RNAcentral.
GGACUACAGGGGUUUCUAAUCCUGUUUGAUCCCCACGCUUUCGUGCCUCAGUGUCAGUUGUAGUUUUGUAAGCUGCCUUCGCAAUGGGUGUUCUGUGUCAUAUCUAAGCAUUUCACCGCUACAUGACACAUUCCACUUACAUCAAAUACACUCAAGAACAACAGUAUCAAUGGCAGUUCUAUAGUUAAGCUAUAGGUUUUCACCACUGACUUGUCAUUCCACCUACGCACCCUUUAAACCCAGUAAAUCCGGAUAACGCUUGGAUCCUCCGUAUUACCGCGGCUGCUGGCAC